Gossypium hirsutum (cotton) is the source of this 107-nucleotide non-coding RNA. The record is from Rfam. Lineage: Eukaryota; Viridiplantae; Streptophyta; Magnoliopsida; Malvales; Malvaceae.
AUCCCAUGAUGAGGACACUUACGAAUGAAUUCUUUGAAUCUUUCCCACGUCUCGUAUAAGGAUUUGUCAUCCAAUUGUUGGAAAGUAGUUAUCUAAUUUCACAACUU